CUGUAAUCGGUACGGGUUGUGGGAGCAAGAGCCCGGAGAUGGAUUCUGAGACAUGAAUCCAGGCCCUACGGGGUGCAGCAGGCGCGAAAACUUUACAAUGCUGGCAACAGCGAUAAGGGAACCUCGAGUGCCAGGUUACAAAUCUGGCUGUCGAGAUGCCUAAAAAGCAUUUCAUAGCAAGGGCCGGGCAAGACCGGUGCCAGCCGCCGCGGUAACACCGGCGGCUCGAGUGGUAACCGUUAUUAUUGGGUCUAAAGGGUCUGUAGCCGGCCGGAUAAGUCUCUUGAGAAAUCUGGCAGCUUAACUGUCAGGCUUUCAGGAGAUACUGUCUGGCUCGAGGCCGGGAGAGGUGAGAGGUACUUCAGGGGUAGGGGUGAAAUCUUGUAAUCCUUGAAGGACCACCAGUGGCGAAGGCGUCUCACCAGAACGGACCUGACGGCAAGGGACGAAAGCUAGGGGCACGAACCGGAUUAGAUACCCGGGUAGUCCUAGCCGUAAACGAUACUCGCUAGGUGUCGGCCACGGUGCGACCGUUGUCGGUGCCGUAGGGAAGCCGUGAAGCGAGC
This 566-nucleotide ribosomal RNA is filed under the name uncultured archaeon. Its description in RNAcentral is "bacterial SSU rRNA". It matches the Rfam family "Archaeal small subunit ribosomal RNA", at positions 258 to 824 of the family's 1478-position model. The record is from RNAcentral.